Long non-coding RNA from Pongo pygmaeus (Bornean orangutan), 1477 nucleotides. RefSeq lists it as uncharacterized. The transcript is spliced from 4 exons. The record is from RefSeq and is a predicted model, not a curated record. Lineage: Eukaryota; Metazoa; Chordata; Mammalia; Primates; Hominidae.
UUGUGUCUUCCUCUGCUCCGCCAUAGUGAGAAGCGCCUGCUUCCCCUUCACCUUCCGCCAUGAUUGUAAGCUUCCCGAGACCUCCCAGCCAUGCUUCCUGUACAGCCUGCAGAACUACACCGUCAGAGAUGGAUUGGGGACACUCCUGCGGGAAGGUGCUGAUGGGGGGAGCUGCGACAACCGGCCCCACACCAGAAAAAGCCGGGGGCCGCUGAGCCCAGGCCACCAACAGGAGCUGUGGACCCAGCCUGACCCCUGGACCGAGGUGCUUUCAGGGCACAAGGGGGAUGCGGGAGCCUGUGGCUGCUGUCGCUUCUGCCCUCAGUUCAUAAACACACGCUGUGCACAUCCCCUGUGCUUGGCAAGGGGCCUGGAUGGAAGGGCCAGUGAGGAGACGCCCAUCCUCCAGGCACUGUGCCUCCUCCCAAAGGAAAAUCUCCAUGAUGCCAGCAGGCGUGUCCACAGAGGAAGGGGUGAAGAAAAUGGCGAAUGGACAGGCGACAAUGGUGAAUGGACAGGCGACAGGCAUCCCACCUAGCUCGGAAGAGGAGGACAUCCUGAGAUUUGCCACAACCUAGAGGCGAUUGAGCUCGUGACAAAAGCCAGACACAGAAAGACAAAUACCACGUUCUCAUUUGUGCAUGGGAGCUAAAGUAGUUAAGUUCAUAGAGGCAGAGGGUGGGGAAGGGGCUGGGUGGGGGGAACUGGGGAGAGGUUGGUCGAACGGCACAAAGGCUCACUUAGGAGGUGACAAGCUCUGGACAGCAGGGUGGCUGUGGUGAACAAGAACGUGUUGGGUACAUGGAUUUGCUGUGACCUGACCUCAAGUGCUCUUGCCAUGGAACCCAGGUGCUCCCUGCUAGAAAGCCACACACGGCAGAGGAGAGCUGGCGAGAGGAAAAGCAGGUUCGACUCAGCGGCCUUUGGAGACGGCAGACUGAGAUUGUCACAGAGACCAUCUCAAGUGAGCACGAAUUCCAGGCUCUUUUAUAUUAAGGGCAGGGGGACAGGGAGGGGUUUGGGAUCAAGAGGUGACAGGUGACCGCAAACAUCUGGGUGCCAGCGAGGGUCCGAGGAGGCUGGGGAUGCCUUCAUUGUUGGUCGGGUCAUGGAGCUCCUGUGAAUCCACAACAGAACAGCUGUUCACAGGCUUCCCCUUUCAUCCGGGAGUGAGUUUCAAAACCUGCACUACGACUACCUCUGUGUAUUUUCUCCGGCCUCUAGUAUGAUCCUAGGCUCCGUGCAGGAAUGGGUGAAGGCCUCUUACACAAAAACAAAGUCAGGUCCUGAGUUCUUUUGCUGUUUGUUUGCUUUCUCCUGCACACUCGAAAAGGUGACUGGCGGAGGUGAGGCCGCGCUAAUUAGCUGGAUUGUGGUGACCCUUCCACAAAGCACGUGUAUGCCGGCAUAUUCACUGGGUCAUGCACCUCGAAUACAUAUUUUUACUUGUCAGUUACAUCAUAAUAAAGGAAAAGAA